AGUGUCAGGGGAUGGGAAUCGAACCCACGACCUUCCGCUUACCGGGCAGAUGCCAUGACCACUAGGCCACAUGACC
RNAcentral lists this transfer RNA (76 nucleotides) under Cordylochernes scorpioides. Its description in RNAcentral is "tRNA-Thr". The record is from RNAcentral. Lineage: Eukaryota; Metazoa; Arthropoda; Arachnida; Pseudoscorpiones; Chernetidae.